Long non-coding RNA from Sinocyclocheilus grahami, 2199 nucleotides. RefSeq lists it as uncharacterized. NCBI's taxonomy places the organism in Eukaryota, Metazoa, Chordata, Actinopteri, Cypriniformes, Cyprinidae. The transcript has 2 exons. The record is from RefSeq and is a predicted model, not a curated record.
CCUGUGCUCUUUAAAAUAACCUGGAUAGCUUCCUAAUGUCUAUAGAGAGAACUAAAGCAUUCGAUGCUUGGGUAUGUAUUAAACUUUUCUUGAAUGACAUUUUAUUUUUGGUCUCAGAAUGGGAAAUGUAUUACAGCCUGAAAUAAUUUGAAUUUAAAAGUUAAGUUAUGCAGGGGCCAUAUUUGUCAAGACUGAUGCAAAGACAAGUUGGCUGCUUUUAGUAAAGAGGACAGGAGAGGACUGUUAAACUUUAAGUGCAGCAUUGUAAAGGUAACCCUAACCCUAAAUUUGUACACGAGUAGUGUUACAUUUAUAUACUUAAAACUGUUUGGUAACAGCGUGCAAUGAUUUAAAAGAUUCAAUCGUUUAAAAACAUAAGUAAAGUGGAAAAAUAUAUAUAUACAUCUAUACAAACACGCAGUAAUAGAUUUUGCUUAUAAUAAUAUUUCUGUACUAACAUUUCAGAGCAGAAUUAUAAUGCAACUCAUGCUAAAAGUGCUCAGUGUCAAAUCUUGAUCCAUCUAUGUUUGUAAUGCUGCUCCUGUUUUUUUUCUUUUGCGAUUUAAUUGUUUAACGUAUUGAAAAACUCAAAUGUCCUACCUGAAAAAGUUACCUGGAAAAGCUUGAGUUGCAUGACUCAAACUUGGCAGAUUGCAUGAGCUUCCUCAAUACAAAAUAGUUUAUCAUAGCAAUGUUUGAUUGUUCGCUCAUAGCAUUCUCUCUUCCCUAGGUCGUGAUGCCUAGCAAUUCCUGGAAAUGGAACAUUUAAUCGAAUGUCAGACCUCUCCUCAGGAAAAGACAAGCAUUUGUUUGCAGUGUAAGGGCAAUCUUACCUUUGAACACCAGCUGCCUUUAAGGAACCAUGGACAGUCUGACUGAACAGUUUGGAAUGGCAGAAAUCGAUAGUCCUGUCAGCUAACGUUUGAUCCAGCAACCUCUUAAUGGGUUAAAGUGGAAAAGUCUUGAGCUGUUGAUGCUCGUUUAUGUUGGCUCUCCAGUCAUAAUGCAAGGUCACUUUCUCUGUACUGAAAGUUUCUCUUUACUGUUCACCUCAUCAAAUGCUUUCUAAGCACAGUUUACUUUAAAUGUUCAUCUUUAAAUUGACUACUACUGCUCAUGUUGGCCAAAAAAAUCAUUUUAACAAGCUAAAAAAAUUCUGUCGGGGCUCUCCAGACGUCUACCUCAGACAAUACUCCAGUGCUUUAUUCUGCAAGACAAGCAUGUCUUUCCCGGUUCCUCGCUCGGAGGAACGUACAUGCUAAUUUGGAGCUGUCCGGCCUCUAUCUCUUAGCACAGACUUUGUCCGUUAAUUGCCAUGGUAAUUUUCAUCGUGCUCUUGAGUAGAUAUGUUUGAAUGGGUUUAUGCUGCUGGAGCUCUCUUGCAGUUUGUAUGAAUCACAAAUGAAUCUUGCGUCUGAUGAACCAAGCACAAAAAGCUCCAGGGAUUUGCAGUGUAGCGUAACGGUUGAUCUAAAUCAUACUAAUGUUUUUUUUUUUUUUUUUUACCUUCUGGAUAAAGGUCUUACUUGCCCUAAUUGAGAGCUUUCCAUAAAUUCUGCUUUGUUUUCUAAUCCUCGCUGUUUUUGGCACUGUGCAUGUGUUGCUGUCAGUGUAUAUUGCUGUAGCUUCCAUCUCUUGCUCAUCUCCACCCCCAACACGCAUAGGAUUCGAGCCCAAUUACCGCCGCUGACAGUGUGUCCGUCCCCCCGCAGAGCCGCCACUGGUUGCCGACUGGCUAACAGGACUAAUGCCUUAUUGCAUUAAAGACAAAUCAGUCCUCGGCACAGAUUUUAAUAAGUAUUAGCCACUGCUCAAGUGCCAUCGAACAAUUGGAAAUGGGUGCACGUGGGUAGGAGGUUGACCGGUUUGUAUGUAGACUUCACUGUAAUGAGAAAUCGCAAAAGCAAAUAAUGGAAAUAUUUAAUUCAUUUCCCAGACAGAUGCUUAGGGGGUAAAGAAAACUACUCUCAAGGAGGAGGAAAUGUUCAAACCCACUGCAAGGACUUAAUGGGUCUUUGUUUACACGGUCAUAUCUGUUUGCGUUGGGCAUGCGUGGCCUACAGCUGCUGGGGGAAUGCCUCUGGGGUAAUGUGCAAGGUCUGAAACUGGGGGAUUGUGGCUUGGCAGCUCUUUCCUCUUAACACACAUCAUGCAUGCUGAAAAUAGGAAGCAUGGCUUUGCGAAUGCAAAUGAAAUGCA